This 260-nucleotide ribosomal RNA is filed under the name uncultured archaeon. RNAcentral describes it as "partial 16S ribosomal RNA". It matches the Rfam family "Archaeal small subunit ribosomal RNA", at positions 748 to 1009 of the family's 1478-position model. The record is from RNAcentral.
CAGCCGUAAACUAUGCUCGCUAGGUGUCAGGCAUGGCGCGACCGUGUCUGGUGCCGCAGGGAAGCCGUGAAGCGAGCCACCUGAGAAGUACGGCCGCAAGGCUGAAACUUAAGGAAUUGGCGGGGGAGCACCACAACGGGUGGAGCCUGCGGUUUAAUUGGACUCAACGCCGGGAAGCUCACCGGAUAAGACAGCGGAAUGAUUGCCGGGCUGAAGACUCUGCAUGACUAGCUGAGAGGAGGUGCAUGGCGUAGACGUGU